UAUAUUCACUACUGUAAGUCGCUCUGGAUAAGAGUGUCUGCUAAGUUACUAAAA
This is a non-coding RNA of Salmo salar (Atlantic salmon), 54 nucleotides long. Lineage: Eukaryota; Metazoa; Chordata; Actinopteri; Salmoniformes; Salmonidae. The record is from Rfam.